RNAcentral lists this ribosomal RNA (316 nucleotides) under uncultured bacterium. Its description in RNAcentral is "bacterial SSU rRNA". It matches the Rfam family "Bacterial small subunit ribosomal RNA", at positions 28 to 339 of the family's 1533-position model. The record is from RNAcentral.
GACGAACGCUGGCGGCGUGCCUAACACAUGCAAGUCGUACGGGACCGGGGCAGCUCCGGUUCAGUGGCAGACGGGUGCGUAACACGUGAGGAACUUGUCCGGUGGCGGGGGAUAGCCGGGCCCAACGGCCGGGUAAUACCGCAUACGCUCGUUCGGGGGCACCCCUGGGCGAGGAAAGCAGCCGCAAGGUUGCGCCGACGGAGGGCCUCGCGACCUAUCAGCUUGUUGGCGGGGUAACGGCCCACCAAGGCGACGACGGGUAGCUGGUCUGAGAGGAUGAUCAGCCACAUUGGGACUGAGACACGGCCCAGACUCC